Molecule: long non-coding RNA, 1025 nt
Filed under: Crocodylus porosus (Australian saltwater crocodile)
Lineage: Eukaryota; Metazoa; Chordata; Crocodylia; Crocodylidae
Description: lncRNA (ENSCPRG00005000189.1)
Source: RNAcentral
AUUAAAGGCUUGCUUUGCAGAGCUGCUGCUGAGUCCUGUGGCGAAGUCCACUACCUGCCUGCCUGAGAAACUGGCUCAAGUGGCACAGCGGGCCUGUGCUGGCUUGGUGCUGACCCCUGCCUUGUCCCAGGUCUCAGUGCACCCGAGGACAGGAUCCUGGGACCUUGCCCUGGCAAACUGAAGUGCCAGCAGCUGUGGGGCUACAUAUUCAGCCUUCUCUACUAAAGGAACGCUUUAGCAUGCAGCGUGCUGCAACAGGGACCUGGGGUCAGGUUUCCACGUGCAGGGGACCUGGCUCUGAAAGACCAGCGCAGGCCAGACCUAUUGUGUGCAUCUCUCCUGGAUUUACUUGUGCUGCCCACCCCUGCCUGCUUCCAUGGAUGCCCAGCAGCAGUCCUGCCUCUCGGCCACCACCUUCUCUGGGAAGCCUGCCUGCUGACUCAGACCCACGCCGUGCUUCACUGGCAGAUUCUCCCCCACCCUCUGCAACCUGGCCCGUGUGAAGGGGAAUAGUGAGUGAUUUCUUUCCCAUCACCUUAUCAGCUGAAAACUUUUAUUUGCACAGGAGCCACCCACCCUCCUUCUAGGAAAACACACACGCAUGUGACACCAGCCGAAAAGGGCCAGAGCCCUCAUUGCCUCCUUGGCUCCCGACCCAACCCCUGGAAACAGUCCGCUGCGCGAAUUAACUCCUGUGUGUUGUUCUUGGAGUGCAAUGAAGGCUGCUUCCUCCAGCUGUGCAAGCCCCUGGCCAUGCCUGGGGCAGCGCAGGGCAGCCUUGUCAUAACAGACAAACAAUAGCACUGCUGAGGCCGUUAUUAUUGCAGCCGCGGCCCAGGGAGCGCGCAGGUCGGGACAGGGACGUCUGCAGGUUCCAGGCAAGGGGCUCUUUGCUGUCUUGUUUUCCACCUUGCUGGCUGGCGGGCCGGGGCAGAGCGUGAUGCUCUGGCCCUGCCAAUGAAAAUAUUAGUUCCAGGAGCAAAAACACCGAGCAACCCAAAUAAUAAAGCGCAGACUAAGCAGCA